GAUGAACGCUGACAGAAUGCUUAACACAUGCAAGUCCACUUGAACUUCGGUUUGGGUGGCGGACGGGUGAGUAACGCGUAAAGAACUUGCCUCACAGCUAGGGACAACAUUUGGAAACGAAUGCUAAUACCUGAUAUUAUGAUUAUAUGGCAUCGUAUAAUUAUGAAAGCUAUAUGCGCUGUGAGAGAGCUUUGCGUCCCAUUAGCUAGUUGGAGAGGUAACAGCUCACCAAGGCGAUGAUGGGUAGCCGGCCUGAGAGGGUGAUCGGCCACAAGGGGACUGAGACACGGCCCUUACUCCUACGGGAGGCAGCAGUGGGGAAUAUUGGACAAUGGACCGAGAGUCUGAUCCAGCAAUUCUGUGUGCACGAUGAAGUUUUUCGGAAUGUAAAGUGCUUUCAGUUGGGAAGAAAAAAAUGGCGGUACCAACAGAAGAAGUGACGGCUAAAUACGUG
This 454-nucleotide ribosomal RNA is filed under the name uncultured bacterium. RNAcentral describes it as "partial 16S ribosomal RNA". It matches the Rfam family "Bacterial small subunit ribosomal RNA", at positions 28 to 507 of the family's 1533-position model. The record is from RNAcentral.